This 1123-nucleotide ribosomal RNA is filed under the name human gut metagenome. RNAcentral's name for it is "bacterial LSU rRNA". It matches the Rfam family "Bacterial large subunit ribosomal RNA", at positions 1803 to 2925 of the family's 2925-position model. The record is from RNAcentral.
AUCAAGCUUAUCGAUACCGUCUGCAAAACCGAAAGGUGAGGUAUAUGGGCUGACGCCUGCCCGGUGCUGGAAGGUUAAGGGGAGAGGUUAGCGCAAGCGAAGCUUUGAACUUAAGCCCCAGUAAACGGCGGCCGUAACUAUAACGGUCCUAAGGUAGCGAAAUUCCUUGUCGGGUAAGUUCCGACCCGCACGAAAGGCGUAAUGAUUUGGGCACUGUCUCAACGAUACACCCGGUGAAAUUGAAAUACCAGUGAAGAUGCUGGUUACCUGCGCCAGGACGGAAAGACCCCAUGGAGCUUUACUCCAGUUUGAUACUGGGAUUCGGCAUGGUAUGUACAGGAUAGGUGGGAGACUGAGAAGGUAUGACGUCAGUUGUACCGGAGUCGCUGUUGGGAUACCACCCUUACCAUGUUGGAUUUCUAACCUGUGGCCGUAAGCCGGUCAGGGGACAAUGUCAGGCGGGGAGUUUGACUGGGGCGGUCGCCUCCGAAAGGGUAUCGGAGGCGCUCAAAGGUUCCCUCAGAAUGGUUGGAAACCAUUCGAAGAGUGCAAAGGCAGAAGGGAGCUUGACUGUGACACCGACGGGUGGAGCAGGUACGAAAGUAGGACUUAGUGAUCCGGUGGUAUAAAGUGGGAUUGCCAUCGCUCAACGGAUAAAAGCUACCCUGGGGAUAACAGGCUUAUCACUCCCAAGAGUUCACAUCGACGGAGUGGUUUGGCACCUCGAUGUCGGCUCAUCGCAUCCUGGAGCUGUAGCAGGUUCCAAGGGUUGGGCUGUUCGCCCAUUAAAGCGGUACGCGAGCUGGGUUCAGAACGUCGUGAGACAGUUCGGUCCCUAUCCGGCGCAGGCGGAGGAAAUUUGAUAGGAGCUGUCCUUAGUACGAGAGGACCGGGAUGGACGGACCGCUGGUGUAUCUGUUGUACUGCCAAGUGCAUAGCAGAGUAGCCAAGUCUGGAAGGGAUAAACGCUGAAGGCAUCUAAGCGUGAAGCCCCCCUAAAGAUAAGAUUUCCCAUACCAUAAGGUAGUAAGACCCCUUGAAGACGACGAGGUAGAUAGGGCAGAGGUGGAAGUACGGUAACGUAUGGAGCUGACUGUUACUAAUCGGUCGAGGCUUUAACCAA